UUGGAGGGCAAGUCUGGUGCCAGCAGCCGCGGUAAUUCCAGCUCCAAUAGCGUAUAUUAAAGUUGUUGCAGUUAAAAAGCUCGUAGUUGAAUUUCGGGAUCAAUUUAUUGGUCGUGCUAUUGUACGUACUGGUAUUAUUGAUUCCUACCUUCUGACGAACCAUGAUGUCAUUAAUUUGGUGUCAUGGGGAAUCAGGACUGUUACUUUGAAAAAAUUAGAGUGUUUAAAGCAGGCUCACGCUUGAAUACAUUAGCAUGGAAUAACGAAAUAGGACGUUUGAUUCUAUUUUGUUGGUUUCUAGGAUCGACGUAAUGAUUAAUAGGGAUAGUUGGGGGCAUUAGUAUUCAAUUGUCAGAGGUGAAAUUCUUGGAUUUAUUGAAGACUAACUACUGCGAAAGCAUUCGCCAAGGAUGUUUUCAUUAAUCAAGAACGAAAGUUAGGGGAUCGAAGACGAUCGGAUACCGUCGUAGUCUUAACCAUAAACUAUGCCGACUAGGGAUCGGAUGAUGUUAAUUUUUUAAUGACUCAUUCGGCGCCUUACGGGAAAC
RNAcentral lists this ribosomal RNA (548 nucleotides) under uncultured Glomeromycotina. Its description in RNAcentral is "SSU rRNA". It matches the Rfam family "Eukaryotic small subunit ribosomal RNA", at positions 548 to 1098 of the family's 1831-position model. Lineage: Eukaryota; Fungi; Glomeromycota. The record is from RNAcentral.